Molecule: ribosomal RNA, 253 nt
Filed under: uncultured bacterium
Lineage: Bacteria
Description: partial 16S ribosomal RNA
Rfam family: Bacterial small subunit ribosomal RNA
Source: RNAcentral
UACGUAGGGUGCGAGCGUUGUCCGGAAUUAUUGGGCGUAAAGAGCGUGUAGGCGGCCAUACAGGUCAGCUGUGAAAACUCGAGGCUCAACCUCGAGACGUCGGUUGAAACCGUAUGGCUAGAGUCCGGAAGAGGAGAGUGGAAUUCCCGGUGUAGCGGUGAAAUGCGCAGAUAUCGGGAAGAACACCUAUGGCGAAGGCAGCUCUCUGGGUCGGUACUGACGCUGAGACGCGAAAGCGUGGGGAGCAAACAGG